This 197-nucleotide small nuclear RNA is filed under the name Mus pahari (shrew mouse). RNAcentral's name for it is "sRNA (MGP_PahariEiJ_G0008227.1)". It matches the Rfam family "7SK RNA", at positions 51 to 331 of the family's 331-position model. From Rfam's summary of the family: 7SK was discovered as an abundant small nuclear RNA in the mid-70s but a possible function has only recently been suggested. Two independent studies have found that 7SK RNA binds the CDK9/cyclin T complex (known as elongation factor P-TEFb). The record is from RNAcentral. Lineage: Eukaryota; Metazoa; Chordata; Mammalia; Rodentia; Muridae.
GGUUGAUUCAGUGAUCUGACUAGCACAGGCAGCUACCCCCUUCCUUACCAGCCCACAUGUGUCCCUCCUAAAGCUAUGUGCUGGGUAAAAGAAGAUGACCUUUCCCUGAGACAGGGAGGACUAUUCUUCAGUCAAGGGUCUAGUUGUGCUCUGUUCAGGCUCCAAUCUUUCUAAUAUACACAGACAUGUCAGUAUUU